This 484-nucleotide ribosomal RNA is filed under the name uncultured bacterium. RNAcentral describes it as "partial 16S ribosomal RNA". It matches the Rfam family "Bacterial small subunit ribosomal RNA", at positions 30 to 507 of the family's 1533-position model. The record is from RNAcentral.
AUUGAACGCUGGCGGCAGGCCUAACACAUGCAAGUCGAGCGGAUGAAGGGUGCUUGCUCCUGGAUUCAGCGGCGGACGGGUGAGUAAUGCCUAGGAAUCUGCCUGGUAGUGGGGGAUAACGUCCGGAAACGGGCGCUAAUACCGCAUACGUCCUGAGGGUGAAAGUGGGGGAUCUUCGGACCUCACGCUAUCAGAUGAGCCUAGGUCGGAUUAGCUAGUUGGUGGGGUAAAGGCCUACCAAGGCGACGAUCCGUAACUGGUCUGAGAGGAUGAUCAGUCACACUGGAACUGAGACACGGUCCAGACUCCUACGGGAGGCAGCAGUGGGGAAUAUUGGACAAUGGGCGAAAGCCUGAUCCAGCCAUGCCGCGUGUGUGAAGAAGGUCUUCGGAUUGUAAAGCACUUUAAGUUGGGAGGAAGGGCAGUAAGUUAAUACCUUGCUGUUUUGACGUUACCAACAGAAUAAGCACCGGCUAACUUCGUG